Raphanus sativus (radish) is the source of this 701-nucleotide long non-coding RNA. RefSeq lists it as uncharacterized. Lineage: Eukaryota; Viridiplantae; Streptophyta; Magnoliopsida; Brassicales; Brassicaceae. The record is from RefSeq and is a predicted model, not a curated record. The transcript has 3 exons.
GGAAGAGGUCAAAAGAGGAGGACUUGAUGGUUGACUUUGAAGCUUCCGAGCAAGUAACGAUGAUGGCGGCGAAGGGAAGGUGAAAGCGAAAGCGUGUAGCGUCUAAUUAUGUUUUCCUGCUACCAGCAAAACGCUGCGUUUGGAAUAUAACCACACAUAAGAACGAGAAGUCUAAAUUUCCAGAUCACUAACCGUCAAAGUUGGCCCGAACUGAGGCCCAAGGACAAUCAGACACUAAGAUGCCUCGAGAGGAACCCGACUAAGACAUUCAUAGAGGCUGGUGAUCAUUCCAUGUUAAGUCACUAGUGGCCACGCACGACAGAUAUGAGUUUCUUCGUAUUGGACCCAAAAGUCCUCAAAAUAAUCACAACAAAUCUCCGAGAGGUAACUUCGAACCCUUGACUUUGCGGACAACAGUAAGGAGCACAUACCACUUGACCACUGAUACAUGGUUAUAAUCAAUGUCUUUGACAUAGUAGAUUAUCUAUAAGAUUCAGCAUAAGUUAUAUUAUUGUUACUAAAUGUUGUUGUCAACUAGAAAAUGAAAACUAGUUAACAUAAGUUAUAUUACUGCUAAAGCCGGACAAAAAAUUAGUAAUUUUUGAUUCGAUUCGUUAUCCGUUUAUUUGAACCGAAAAAUUCGAAUUAUUAAUAUACAAUAUCCGUAAAAAAUAAAACAAAUUACAAAUAUUAAUAUUUUA